AUACGGGGGGAGCAAGCGUUGUCCGGAAUUACUGGGCGUAAAGGGCGUGUAGGCGGCCUGAUAAGUCAGAUGUGAAAGCCUUCCGCUUAACGGAAGAACUGCAUUUGAAACUGUCGGGCUUGAGUGCGAGAGAGGGUAGUGGAAUUCCCAGUGUAGCGGUGAAAUGCGUAGAUAUUGGGAAGAACACCAGUAGCGAAGGCGGCUACCUGGCUCGUAACUGACGCUAAGGCGCGAAAGCGUGGGGAGCAAACAGGAUUAGAAACCCCAGUAGUCC
RNAcentral lists this ribosomal RNA (274 nucleotides) under uncultured bacterium. RNAcentral's name for it is "partial 16S ribosomal RNA". It matches the Rfam family "Bacterial small subunit ribosomal RNA", at positions 523 to 796 of the family's 1533-position model. The record is from RNAcentral.